ACUCCAUACGGGAGGCAGCAGUGGGGAAUAUUGCACAAUGGGCGCAAGCCUGAUGCAGCCAUGCCGCGUGUGUGAAGAAGGCCUUCGGGUUGUAAAGCACUUUCAGUCGUGAGGGAAGGUCAUGUGUUAGUUAAUAGCUGCAUUAUUUGACGUUAGCCGACAGAAGAAGCACCGGCUAACUCCGUGCCAGCAGCCGCGGUAAUACGGAGGGUGCGAGCGUUAAUCGGAAUUACUGGGGCGUAAAGCGCAUGCAGGUGGUUUGUUAAGUCAGAUGUGAAAG
This 280-nucleotide ribosomal RNA is filed under the name uncultured bacterium. RNAcentral describes it as "partial 16S ribosomal RNA". It matches the Rfam family "Bacterial small subunit ribosomal RNA", at positions 335 to 600 of the family's 1533-position model. The record is from RNAcentral.